AUUGAACGCUGGCGGCAGGCCUAACACAUGCAAGUCGAGCGGCUGCGAGGAGCUUGCUCUUCGAUUCAGCGGCGGACGGGUGAGUAAAGCCUAGGAACCUGCCCAGUCGUGGGGGACAACGUUUCGAAAGGAACGCUAAUACCGCAUACGUCCUACGGGUGAAAGCAGGGGAUCUUAGGGCCUUGCGCUAUCAGAUGGGCCUAGGUCGGGUUAGCUAGUUGGUGGGGUAAUGGCUCACCAAGCCGACGAUCUGUAGCUGGUCUGAGAGGACGAUCAGCCAACCUGGAACUGAGACACGGCCCAGACUCCUACGGGAGGCAGCAGUGGGGAAUUUUGGACAAUGGGCGAAAGCCUGAUCCAGCAAUGCCGCGUGUGUGAAGAAGGGCUUCGGAUUGUAAAGCACUUUUGUUUGGAAAGAAGGGGAUUAAGUUAAUACCUGGGGUUUAUGACGUUACCGAAAGAAUAAGCACCGGCUAACUCCGUGCCAGCCGCCGCCGUAA
This 500-nucleotide ribosomal RNA is filed under the name uncultured bacterium. RNAcentral's name for it is "partial 16S ribosomal RNA". It matches the Rfam family "Bacterial small subunit ribosomal RNA", at positions 30 to 523 of the family's 1533-position model. The record is from RNAcentral.